This 683-nucleotide long non-coding RNA is filed under the name Drosophila guanche. Lineage: Eukaryota; Metazoa; Arthropoda; Insecta; Diptera; Drosophilidae. The record is from RNAcentral.
GCAAAACAAACCAAAAGGCAGCCAUAAAAAGUUGGCUGGCUCUUCUGGCGAAGAGCUCGUUGCAACGAAUUUAUAUUAAAAGUAAGUAAUUCACUGGUUACGAUCAAGCGCUUUUUAUAUGAUCUUUAUUGGUAACUUAGGGAUAGUCAUAUUGGCCACCACAAACUUGUUUCCACGUCAGUUGUAGUCUCACUGGUGAUACGGCUAUGCGUUCGACUUACAUAGCUCACGCACGGUACACGUACUCAACCUCGCACACAACGCCUCUCCUUGUGCUCGCCUUGGGGAUGACGCGUUACCUGUUGGGCCUUUCCUGGGCCUUACUCGGACGACUCUCAGGCCUCGCUCAAUAUGCUGUCUGGAGCUCUCCAGACGUGGCUCUCGUGGAAAACGGUUGGGGGUUUUGACUCGUCCAGAUCCUUGUCCGCCACGCACAGCUACGAACACAAUGGGUUCGGCCUUCUUGUCUACUCACCACAAGCGGUGGCUCUGCCUUGUAUGCCUUUUGUCCGAAAAGUUCUAAUCGCGUUGGUUGGAUCGCACUCGGAUUUACUCGGAUCCGCCAGUGUACCUUCGCUUUUUUGCUGUAUAUAAAAUGUUCACUUUGAGUCAAUUGCCAAUUUAUUGUCGCUGUUUUCCAAUGAUAUUAGUGUGCUCAGGAAAUUGAAAUGUGAAUUGUGAAU